AAACUUUCAACAACUUAUCUCUUGGUUCUGGCAUCGAUGAAGAACGCAGCGAAAUGCGAUAAGUAAUGUGAAUUGCAGAAUUCAGUGAAUCAUCGAAUCUUUGAACGCACAUUGCGCCCUCCAGCAUUCUGGCGGGCAUGCCUGUUCGAUCGUCAUUU
Molecule: ribosomal RNA, 158 nt
Filed under: Akanthomyces lecanii
Lineage: Eukaryota; Fungi; Ascomycota; Sordariomycetes; Hypocreales; Cordycipitaceae
Description: 5.8 S ribosomal RNA
Rfam family: 5.8S ribosomal RNA
About the family: 5.8S ribosomal RNA (5.8S rRNA) is a component of the large subunit of the eukaryotic ribosome.
Source: RNAcentral